AGGUGGCAGCCUGCUUGCCC
Molecule: unclassified non-coding RNA, 20 nt
Filed under: Mus musculus (house mouse)
Lineage: Eukaryota; Metazoa; Chordata; Mammalia; Rodentia; Muridae
Description: oocyte_clustered_small_RNA13204
Source: RNAcentral